Molecule: ribosomal RNA, 233 nt
Filed under: uncultured Actinomycetales bacterium
Lineage: Bacteria; Bacillati; Actinomycetota; Actinomycetes; Actinomycetales
Description: partial 16S ribosomal RNA
Rfam family: Bacterial small subunit ribosomal RNA
Source: RNAcentral
GGCGAACGGGUGAGUAACACGUGGGUGAUCUGCCUUGCACUCUGGGAUAAGCAUGGGAAACUGGGUCUAAUACCGGAUAGGAACCGUCUUUAGUGUGGUGGUUGGAAAGUUUUUCGGUGCAAGAUGAGCUCGCGGCCUAUCAGCUUGUUGGUGGGGUAAUGGCCUACCAAGGCGUCGACGGGUAGCCGGCCUGAGAGGGUGUACGGCCACAUUGGGACUGAGAUACGGCCCAG